GGGUGGUAACAGCUGAGCACUCAAAUGCACAACUGAAAAGAGCUGGGGAAUUAAAUGAAAAUGCCUCCUGAUGGUCUGUUGUGUUACAUGGCCUUGCCAUGGCCACGGAAGGGAAUCAGUGGCACCAGGUGCUGUGCAUACCAUGUGGUAGCUAGAGGCACCUAAAAUUUUAGGAGGCUACUAAGGUGCCAUGCCUCUCCUUACCUCUGAGGAGCCCUUCUAGCCUGGUGGGGCACCAUCCAGCAGCAAACAGGAUUCAGGGCACUUACAGGCUCUUGUCCUGCCUGAUGCAUGAAAGAUGGAAUCAGACAACCUCUUGAGCAAAAAGACUCCAAACAAUACAGUUUCAGGCAGCAGCUAAGGCCCUGUAGCUGGGGCCAUACUUCUCAUCUCCUCUUCAUUGGAAGGAAGGUACAUGCAGCAUCUGUCCUGCUGUGUUUUACAUUUGUAAUGCAGGGAACAAGGCAUAUUAAGAGCAAGGGAAUGGAAAUGCAAGCAGGAGAGGAUGAACCAAAACACUGCAGAUAUACCUGUUUUUCUCCAUUAACUCUAAGAAAACUCACUGGUGGCUCCAGACAUCAGAAAUCAUGUGAGGUAUGUCUCAUGGCUGUUUGGGUGAUUGGAACAGCACCCACCAGAUCCAUUAAUUGCAUCAAAUCCAGGUGCUUGCUUGAAGCCAACAUUUAACUAUGCAAAUUACCAUUUUUGUGUUCAAGGUGAAGCUGAAGGAGCAGCCUCGCUUGCUUUGGAGCUGCUGCUGCAGCCUGGUUCUUCAGCAGCUUCUUCACAGUGAGAAGGUAUCUUGAGUGCUGUGGGAUUUUACCUCACAGAUGAGCAGACAGUUGAUCUCCCAUGGAGAAAAGGGAAGAAAGAUGGAGAAUUCAGUGGUUUCAUCAAAUCAGAUUGAUAUCUGCCUCAGCUCUUGGGCUCCUCUGCAGAAAACCAUCACCUGAAAAUCUCACCUGGGGACUAUCUGAGCAAAACCUUGUUUGACAAGGAAUUUGAUAAGGAAAUUGAAAUAUUUCAGGGUCUCUGAAAGGCAGAAUGGGAAGUUUUGUAGCCUUCUGGCACAGAAGGCUACAAAAUGUUAGAAGUAUUUGAAAGCAAUAUAAAAUUCACCAAACUUCAGAGCAGCUGACAACACAAAAGCCUAAUGUUUCUGACCAGUCUCUGAUCAGACAGCCAGUAGAUGUUGGCUCCAAAAGCAAGAUUGACUCUAGGCAGCUUUGGGAAACCUGCCUUUCCUCUCUUGCCUCUCUGUCCCCCCAAACACACUGUGUCUCAUCUCUCUUGACUCUCUGUGUUCCCCAGGGCAGAGGUGCUCUCUUACCCAUCCUAAUACAGCCUCCAAAACUGCACUGAUUGCAGUUUCUUGCUACUACUUACUGAAAACAAGUCAGAGAAAACAGGGUGGGAAGAGACCUUGAGAGGUCACCAGGUCCAUCUGCCUGUUCCAGCAGCGUCAGAUAUGGAUCUAAUCUGGUCUGGACUUCUGCCACCUCCUGCUCUGGCAGCUUGAUGAAGGCUACACUAUUUCCCUCAAUAAACUGUUCCAUGGCUGCA
This is a long non-coding RNA of Parus major (Great Tit), 1563 nucleotides long. The record is from Ensembl. Lineage: Eukaryota; Metazoa; Chordata; Aves; Passeriformes; Paridae.